UACGUAGGGCGCGAGCGUUGUCCGGAUUUAUUGGGCGUAACGAGCUCGUAGGCGGCUUGUCGCGUCGACCGUGAAAACUUGGGGCUCAACCCCAAGCCUGCGGUCGAUACGGGCAGGCUCGAGUUCGGUAGGGGAGACUGGAAUUCCUGGUGUAGCGGUGAAAUGCGCAGAUAUCAGGAGGAACACCGAUGGCGAAGGCAGGUCUCUGGGCCGAUACUGACGCUGAGAAGCGAAAGCAUGGGGAGCGAACAGG
RNAcentral lists this ribosomal RNA (253 nucleotides) under uncultured bacterium. RNAcentral's name for it is "partial 16S ribosomal RNA". It matches the Rfam family "Bacterial small subunit ribosomal RNA", at positions 524 to 776 of the family's 1533-position model. The record is from RNAcentral.